AGCCGUGUGGUGUAAUGGCUUGAGUGUUAGACUGUGACUCUGGAGACCAGGGUUCGAAUCCUAGCUUAGGAUG
Phrynosoma platyrhinos (Desert horned lizard) is the source of this 73-nucleotide non-coding RNA. NCBI's taxonomy places the organism in Eukaryota, Metazoa, Chordata, Lepidosauria, Squamata, Phrynosomatidae. The record is from the annotation of a GenBank genome assembly.